UUCUCCCAACUUUGGUUACCACUCACGACUAAUAAACCAUCUGCAGGAAGCCCCUGGAAGACCAUGCGGAAAUCCUGCAUCUUGUGAUGUUUCCCCAGGACUUAGCCGUGGUUGGUUUCUGCCUUGACCCGUCUUUACUGUGAUGGCUGUAAGUGGUGCUUGUGCAGCUCCCAUGCAGACUUGGCCACCUGCUGGGAGCAGACCGCCCCCCACCGACCCCUUCUUCCUGGACUCCUGUGUCUUCAUUCACCGCUGUCCUAGUGUCUCAUUCAUCACUGUCCUCGAGGAUUUUGUGCUCAAAUUCUCCUAGAUUUCAUUAGUGGGAGCCCACCAGGCCACUUCCCAGCUCCUUCCCUCUUUCGUUCCCACCUCCUUCCCUCUUUCGUUCCCCACCUUCCUUUCUCUUCCUGCUAUCCUCUGCCUCAUUUAAAGAAACCGUUUCCUAACUUUUCCAUAUAAUGUUUCACACCCAUCUUGUACCUAACCUACCCAGCCCUGGAGUCCACCAGAUGUUUGAAGGGCUCUAGUUUUUGUAGUGUGAAAAUGUUACCAAGGAACAAUAUCUGGGUACAAGGUAGGCUUAUUGCUGUCGAGUGUCUUUGCUUCUAACCCUGUUAGCGGUCAGAGCUGGGAAAUACGUGCAUGUACACAUACACACCUCUGUGUAAGCAUACAUGCAUGUAAGUAUGUGUGUGUGUGUGUAUAUAUAUAUGCACAUAUACAUGCAUAUAUGUGCAUGUAUAAAACAGACAAGUCCCACAAUGUCCUUUCUCUCCCUGUUAUCCCCACCCCUUGUACGUGACAGUGAUGUUCUAAGGUGGUCUCUCACCAGCUCCUGGAGCUACUUCUGCAGAUCUCUUCCCAGCUCUGUGUUUAGUGACAUCAUGCGCAUCCCUGGAGUCGCUCUGUACCAGGGUGGAGUGAUCGUCCUCAUUCUUCCUUUUGCUUCCUCUGCUGCCCAGUGCUGCGUCCUCGUCUGGGUUUCAUGAUGGUGGGAUGAUGACGUAGUUUACGAUAUUUUGCAGUUACACCCAGGGCAGUGAUAUUUUUAUCUGUGGCAUCCUCUUGUAAUCUCAGCAUUUUGGGAGGCUGAAGAUGAGAGGGUUGCUUGAGGCCAGGAGUUCGAGACAAACCUAGGCAACAUAGCAACCCUGUCUCUCCAAAAAAAAAAAAAAAAAAA
This 1180-nucleotide small RNA is filed under the name Pan troglodytes (chimpanzee). RNAcentral describes it as "processed transcript". Lineage: Eukaryota; Metazoa; Chordata; Mammalia; Primates; Hominidae. The record is from RNAcentral.